Molecule: unclassified non-coding RNA, 253 nt
Filed under: uncultured Phycisphaeraceae bacterium
Lineage: Bacteria; Pseudomonadati; Planctomycetota; Phycisphaerae; Phycisphaerales; Phycisphaeraceae
Description: contains 16S-23S intergenic spacer region
Rfam family: Bacterial small subunit ribosomal RNA
Source: RNAcentral
UACAGAGGACCCGAGCGUUAAUCGGAAUUACUGGGCUUAAAGGGUGCGUAGGCGGAUUCGUAAGUGCUUUGUGAAAUCCCACGGCUCAACCGUGGAAUUGCUUGGCAUACUGCGAGUCUUGAGGUCGGUAGAGGUUGUCGGAACUCUAGGUGGAGCGGUGAAAUGCGUAGAUAUCUAGAGGAACGCCGAAGGUGAAGACAGGCAACUGGGCCGAUUCUGACGCUGAUGCACGAAAGCGUGGGGAGCAAACAGG